UACGUAGGGGGCGGGCGUUGUCCGGAAUUAUUGGGCGUAAAGAGCUCGUAGGCGGUCUGUCGCGUCGAAUGUGGAAACCCGGGGCUCAACUCCGGGCUUGCAUUCGAUACGGGCAGGCUAGAGUUCGGUAGGGGAGUCUGGAAUUCCUGGUGUAGCGGUGAAAUGCGCAGAUAUCAGGAGGAACACCGGUGGCGAAGGCGGGCCUCUGGGCCGAUACUGACGCUGAGGAGCGAAAGCGUGGGGAGCGAACAGG
This 253-nucleotide ribosomal RNA is filed under the name uncultured bacterium. RNAcentral describes it as "partial 16S ribosomal RNA". It matches the Rfam family "Bacterial small subunit ribosomal RNA", at positions 524 to 776 of the family's 1533-position model. The record is from RNAcentral.